AACGAACGCUGGCGGCAGGCUUAACACAUGCAAGUCGAACGCCCCGCCCGGGGAUUGGCAGACGGGUGAGUAGCGCGUGGGAAUCUACCCACCUCUACGGACUAACCUAUGGUAACGUGUGCUAAUACCGUAUACGCCCUACGGCGGGAAGAUUUAUCGGGGUUGGAUGAGGCCGCGUUGGAUUAGCGAGUUGGUGGGGUAAAGGCCUACCUAGGCGACGAUCCAUAGCUGUUCUGAGAGGAUGAUCAGCCACAUUGGGACUGAGACACGGCCCAAACUCCUACGGGAGGCAGCAGUGGGGAAUAUAGGACAAUGGGCGCAAGCCUGAUCCAGCCAUGCCGCGUGAGUGAUGAAGGCCUUAGGGUUGUAAAGCUCUUUCACCGGAGAAGAUAAUGACGGUAUCCGGAGAAGAAGCCCCGGCUAACUACGUG
RNAcentral lists this ribosomal RNA (431 nucleotides) under uncultured bacterium. Its description in RNAcentral is "partial 16S ribosomal RNA". It matches the Rfam family "Bacterial small subunit ribosomal RNA", at positions 29 to 507 of the family's 1533-position model. The record is from RNAcentral.